GCGGGUUUAGCUCAGUUGGGAGAGCGUCAGACUGAAGUUAACUUCAGGAAGUCAAUCUGAAGGUCGUGUGUUCGAUCCACACAAACCGCA
Molecule: transfer RNA, 90 nt
Organism: Podospora anserina
Lineage: Eukaryota; Fungi; Ascomycota; Sordariomycetes; Sordariales; Podosporaceae
Rfam family: tRNA
About the family: Transfer RNA (tRNA) molecules are approximately 80 nucleotides in length.
Source: Rfam